AGUCGACGAUGAAUCUUCUAGCUUGCUAGAAGUGGAUUAGUGGCGCACGGGUGAGUAAUGCAUAGGUUAUGUGCCCUUUAGUCUGGGAUAGCCACUGGAAACGGUGAUUAAUACUGGAUACUCCCUACGGGGGAAAGUUUUUCGCUAAAGGAUCAGCCUAUGUCCUAUCAGCUUGUUGGUGAGGUAAUGGCUCACCAAGGCUAUGACGGGUAUCCGGCCUGAGAGGGUGAUCGGACACACUGGAACUGAGACACGGUCCAGACUCCUACGGGAGGCAGCAGUAGGGAAUAUUGCUCAAUGGGGGAAACCCUGAAGCAGCAACGCCGCGUGGAGGAUGAAGGUUUUAGGAUUGUAAACUCCUUUUGUUAGAGAAGAUUAUGACGGUAUCUAACGAAUAAGCACCGGCUAACUCCGUGCCAGCAGCCGCGGUAAUACGGAGGGUGCAAGCGUUACUCGGAAUCACUGGGCGUAAAGAGUGCGUAGGCGGGGUAAUAAGUCAGAUGUGAAAUCCUGUAGCUUAACUACAGAACUGCAUUUGAAACUGUUACUCUGGAGUGUGGGAGAGGUAGGUGGAAUUCUUGGUGUAGGGGUAAAAUCCGUAGAGAUCAAGAGGAAUACUCAUUGCGAAGGCGACCUGCUGGAACAUUACUGACGCUGAUGCACGAAAGCGUGGGGAGCAAACAGGAUUAGAUACCCUGGUAGUCCACGCCCUAAACGAUGGAUGCUAGUUGUUGCCUUGCUUGUCAGGGCAGUAAUGCAGCUAACGCAUUAAGCAUCCCGCCUGGGGAGUACGGUCGCAAGAUUAAAACUCAAAGGAAUAGACGGGGACCCGCACAAGCGGUGGAGCAUGUGGUCUAAUUCGAAGAUACGCGAAGAACCUUACCUAGGCUUGACAUUGAUA
RNAcentral lists this ribosomal RNA (901 nucleotides) under uncultured bacterium. RNAcentral describes it as "bacterial SSU rRNA". It matches the Rfam family "Bacterial small subunit ribosomal RNA", at positions 60 to 992 of the family's 1533-position model. The record is from RNAcentral.